UACAGAGGUCUCAAGCGUUGUUCGGAAUCACUGGGCGUAAAGGGUGCGUAGGUGGCGUAGUAAGUCAGAUGUGAAAGCCCGGGGCUCAACCUCGGAAUUGCAUCCGAUACUGCUGUGCUAGAGUACUGAAGAGGUGACUAGAAUUCUCGGUGUAGCAGUGAAAUGCGUAGAUAUCGAGAGGAAUACCAACGGCGAAGGCAGGUCACUGGGCAGUUACUGACACUGAGGCACGAAGGCCAGGGGAGCAAACGGG
Molecule: ribosomal RNA, 253 nt
Filed under: uncultured Prosthecobacter sp.
Lineage: Bacteria; Pseudomonadati; Verrucomicrobiota; Verrucomicrobiia; Verrucomicrobiales; Verrucomicrobiaceae
Description: partial 16S ribosomal RNA
Rfam family: Bacterial small subunit ribosomal RNA
Source: RNAcentral